This 446-nucleotide ribosomal RNA is filed under the name Bacillus sp. R08M008. RNAcentral's name for it is "bacterial SSU rRNA". It matches the Rfam family "Bacterial small subunit ribosomal RNA", at positions 95 to 526 of the family's 1533-position model. Lineage: Bacteria; Bacillati; Bacillota; Bacilli; Caryophanales; Bacillaceae. The record is from RNAcentral.
GCGGCGGACGGGUGAGUAACACGUGGGCAACCUGCCUGUAAGACCGGGAUAACUUCGGGAAACCGGAGCUAAUACCGGAUAAUUCCUUUCCUCGCAUGAGGAAAGGUUGAAAGGCGGCUUCGGCUGUCACUUACAGAUGGGCCCGCGGCGCAUUAGCUAGUUGGUGAGGUAACGGCUCACCAAGGCGACGAUGCGUAGCCGACCUGAGAGGGUGAUCGGCCACACUGGGACUGAGACACGGCCCAGACUCCUACGGGAGGCAGCAGUAGGGAAUCUUCCGCAAUGGACGAAAGUCUGACGGAGCAACGCCGCGUGAGCGAUGAAGGUCUUCGGAUCGUAAAGCUCUGUUGUUAGGGAAGAACAAGUACCGUUCGAAUAGGGCGGUACCUUGACGGUACCUAACCAGAAAGCCACGGCUAACUACGUGCCACCAGCCGCGGUAAUAC